RNAcentral lists this unclassified non-coding RNA (365 nucleotides) under uncultured fungus. Its description in RNAcentral is "partial contains small subunit ribosomal RNA, internal transcribed spacer 1, and 5.8S ribosomal RNA". The stretch from base 1 to 73 matches the Rfam family "Eukaryotic small subunit ribosomal RNA", at positions 1759 to 1831 of the family's 1831-position model. The record is from RNAcentral. Lineage: Eukaryota; Fungi.
GCAAACUUGGUCAUUUAGAGGAAGUAAAAGUCGUAACAAGGUUUCCGUAGGUGAACCUGCGGAAGGAUCAUUAAUGAAUGAACUUGCCCGAGCUGCUGCUGGUCCUUUGGGACAUGUGCACGCUCGGGUCUUGUUUCUAACCACCUGUGCACUUUUUAGUAGACUUUGGAGUGUUUUGAAACAAAUCUUUAUUUGUUUUUACUUGGGGAAUUGCUACCAGCUUUCCCUGUUUCCUCCGGUCUAUGACUUCACAUACACUAUGAAAUGUAAAGAAUGUGUCUUUGGCCUUUCUAAGGUCUAUAUGAGAAACAUAUACAACUUUCAACAACGGAUCUCUUGGCUCUCGCAUCGAUGAAGAACGCAGC